AAUAAUUUAUCUAUAAAAGAAGGUAAAUGAAUAACAUUUAGUAAGAGACUUCUGGAUUGAUAUUCUAUCUCUCUAAAAAUAUAUCUACUGUUCACCACUCUUCACUGACUUAAGCAUCGAAGGAUUCCUAUCGGACACAACUCUGGUCAGUGUGGACUUCUUUUGCAAUUGCUCUUCUCUGGUAAUGGGUGCAACGGAGGAGUGGCUGCAAUAGAUUGACGUACC
Molecule: long non-coding RNA, 225 nt
Filed under: Elaeis guineensis (African oil palm)
Lineage: Eukaryota; Viridiplantae; Streptophyta; Magnoliopsida; Arecales; Arecaceae
Description: long non-coding RNA (EGUI_LNC014463)
Source: RNAcentral